Molecule: unclassified non-coding RNA, 238 nt
Filed under: Hevea brasiliensis (rubber tree)
Lineage: Eukaryota; Viridiplantae; Streptophyta; Magnoliopsida; Malpighiales; Euphorbiaceae
Source: RNAcentral
UUUUUUUUUUUUUUUUUUUCUAAAGGCGUGGAAGUAGCUAUACAUGCAAACUUACAUAUUCAGUCGUGACAUGCUUGAUGUACGGAUGGUUGUGGAUCACGAAUUUACAGUAUUAUGUUACAAAGUACUUGAUAAGUUUGUGAGUUUUGAUGAUGGCUUUAUAUAUAAAGGCCCUUUUAAACCUUGUGGAAUAAUUUAAUAGUCACUUAUGUUUAUCAAUUUUUUUUAUAAUUUAAAC